RNAcentral lists this ribosomal RNA (543 nucleotides) under uncultured bacterium. RNAcentral describes it as "bacterial SSU rRNA". It matches the Rfam family "Bacterial small subunit ribosomal RNA", at positions 772 to 1315 of the family's 1533-position model. The record is from RNAcentral.
ACGCAAUAGAUACCCAGGUAGUCCACGCCGUAAACGAUGGGCACUAGAUGCUUGGGGGAGCGACCCCCUGAGUGUCGGCGCUAACGCAUUAAGUGCCCCGCCUGGGGAGUACGGCCGCAAGGCUGAAACUCAAAGGAAUUGACGGGGGCCCGCACAAGCGGUGGAGCAUGUGGUUUAAUUCGACGCAACGCGAAGAACCUUACCUGGGCUUGACAUGGCUGGGAAACCUUCUGGAAACAGGAGGCCUCCUUCGGGACUCAGUCACAGGUGCUGCAUGGCUGUCGUCAGCUCGUGUCGUGAGAUGUUGGGUUAAGUCCCGCAACGAGCGCAACCCUCGCCCCUAGUUACCAGCGGGUCAUGCCGGGGACUCUAGGGGGACUGCCGGUGCCAAACCGGAGGAAGGUGAGGACGACGUCAAGUCAUCAUGGUCCUUACGCCCAGGGCCACACACGUGCUACAGUGGCGGGGACAGAAGGCUGCGAGCCGGCAACGGUGAGCCAAUCCCCAAACCCGCCUCAGUUCGGAUUGUCCUCUGCAACUCGA